AGAGUUUGAUCCUGGCUCAGAUUGAACGCUAGCGGCAUGCUUUACACAUGCAAGUCGAACGGCAGCACGGGCUUCGGCCUGGUGGCGAGUGGCGAACGGGUGAGUAAUACAUCGGAACGUACCCAGAAGUGGGGGAUAACGCAGCGAAAGUUGCGCUAAUACCGCAUACGUUCUACGGAAGAAAGUGGGGGAUCUUCGGACCUCAUGCUUUUGGAGCGGCCGAUGUCUGAUUAGCUAGUUGGUGGGGUAAAGGCUCACCAAGGCGACGAUCAGUAGCUGGUCUGAGAGGACGACCAGCCACACUGGAACUGAGACACGGUCCAGACUCCUACGGGAGGCAGCAGUGGGGAAUUUUGGACAAUGGGCGCAAGCCUGAUCCAGCAAUGCCGCGUGAGUGAAGAAGGCCUUCGGGUUGUAAAGCUCUUUUGUCAGGGAAGAAACGGCUCCGGCUAAUAUCCGGGGCUAAUGACGGUACCUGAAGAAUAAGCACCGGCUAACUACGUGCCAGCAGCCGCGGUAAUACGUAGGGUGCAAGCGUUAAUCGGAAUUACUGGGCGUAAAGCGUGCGCAGGCGGUUUUGUAAGUCUGUCGUGAAAGCCCCGGGCUCAACCUGGGAAUUGCGAUGGAGACUGCAAGGCUUGAAUCUGGCAGAGGGGGGUAGAAUUCCACGUGUAGCAGUGAAAUGCGUAGAGAUGUGGAGGAACACCGAUGGCGAAGGCAGCCCCCUGGGUCAAGAUUGACGCUCAUGCACGAAAGCGUGGGGAGCAAACAGGAUUAGAUACCCUGGUAGUCC
This 793-nucleotide ribosomal RNA is filed under the name uncultured bacterium. RNAcentral describes it as "bacterial SSU rRNA". It matches the Rfam family "Bacterial small subunit ribosomal RNA", at positions 8 to 796 of the family's 1533-position model. The record is from RNAcentral.